Molecule: ribosomal RNA, 515 nt
Filed under: uncultured bacterium
Lineage: Bacteria
Description: bacterial SSU rRNA
Rfam family: Bacterial small subunit ribosomal RNA
Source: RNAcentral
AGAGUUUGAUUCUGGCUCAGGACGAACGCUGGCGGCGUGCUUAACACAUGCAAGUCGAACGGGGAUCAUCGGGCGGAAGGCUUCGGCCGGAAGGCUGGUGAUUCUAGUGGCGGACGGGUGAGUAACGCGUGAACAAUCUGUCCCAGACAGGGGGAUAACACUUGGAAACAGGUGCUAAUACCGCAUGAGACCACGGUGUCGCAUGGCACAGGGGUAAAAAGGAGUAAUCCGGUUUGGGGUGAGUUCGCGUCCGAUUAGCCAGUUGCGGGUAACGGCCCACCAAAGCGACGAUCGGUAGCCGACCUGAGAGGGUGAUCGGCCACAUUGGAACUGAGAGACGGUCCAAACUCCUACGGGAGGCAGCAGUGGGGAAUAUUGGGCAAUGGGCGAAAGCCUGACCCAGCAACGCCGCGUGAGUGAAGAAGGCCUUCGGGUUGUAAAGCUCUGUUAUAGGGGACGAAGUGCGUGACGGUACCCUAUAAGGAAGCCCCGGCUAACUACGUGCCAGCCGCAGC